Molecule: unclassified non-coding RNA, 426 nt
Filed under: Hevea brasiliensis (rubber tree)
Lineage: Eukaryota; Viridiplantae; Streptophyta; Magnoliopsida; Malpighiales; Euphorbiaceae
Source: RNAcentral
AACAAAGCACCCUCUUCAAGGAUACAAAGUAGUCAUCUGUAACUCCGUUCAUGCUCCAAUAAAUAAAAGACAAAUUAUACUAAUCUCUGUAAUUUGAAUUUUGUCCAACAGAGAAUGAGAAUUAUUCUCAUUGCAUGAAGUUACAUUUUCUUACACAUCAGAAUUUCCUAAAGAUCGAACUUAGACUAAGGCACAACCUCUUGCCAUAACAAUAAAGACUUGAGACUUGAUGUCAAAAAAAUAAAGACUAAAGAUCUAUAAUUGACAAGAAAAAAUGAUGCAAUCACCAUUGCCAGUCCUGCCGCCACCCACAAAAAUUAAAGGUUUUGUUUGGAUCAUAUAAUAGCAUAGAGUAAGAAUAUAAUGGCUGUUUUAUGGCCAUAGAACAACUACUUUCAGUCUCUCACUUAUAUGUGAAAUUUGUAU